RNAcentral lists this ribosomal RNA (379 nucleotides) under uncultured eukaryote. RNAcentral's name for it is "SSU rRNA". It matches the Rfam family "Eukaryotic small subunit ribosomal RNA", at positions 587 to 972 of the family's 1831-position model. The record is from RNAcentral.
AGCUCCAAUAGCGUAUAUUAAAGUUGUUGCGGUAAAAAGCUCGUAGUUGGAUUUCUGUUGAGGACGACCGGUCCAUACCACGUAUGCGCAUCUGGCUCGGCCUCGGCAUCCUCUCGCGAAACGUUUCUGCGCUUGAUUGCGUGGAGCGGGUCUCGGGACUUUUACUUUGAGGAAAUUAGAGUGUUCACGGCAGGCUAUCGCCCGAAUACAUUAGCAUGGAAUAAUACUAUAGGAUUUCGCACCUAUUUUGUUGGUUUCUAGGCGUGAAAUAAUGAUUAAUAGGGACAAUUGGGGGCAUUCGUAUCAACACGUCAGAGGUGGAAUUCUUGGAUUGUGUUGCGACGAACUACUGCGAAAGCAUUUGCCAAGGAUGUUUUCA